AUGGCGGCGGUUUCCACUGCGGUGGCUCGGCGGUCAGUGUCUGGGCUACGACGGCGGUGGCGGUCGGCGUCUGUGCUUGCUGGCCCAUUCUCUGGCGACCUCGACCUGGUUCACGAGGUCGAGCCCACUCGGAUCUGGCAUCCUUCAAAGGCAGCAGCUCGACUCGGCCGGCUCUGGACAUUAGCCAUGGCUGGGUGGAUGGGGGCGUGUUGGAGGCGGUGGUUGUGUGGCUCGUGGAGGAGAUUUGGCUGGUGGUCGGCGAUGUUGGUUCUUGUGGAGCUCAGAUUUGGCUUGGUUACAGGGGCUGCUCUGCUUUGGUUGUGGAUGGGGAGGGUCCUGGUGGCUGUAUGUGCUGGUGGUGGGGUGUGGCCGGCGACAAGGGCUUGGAUGCGGGCUGCAGCUGACACCGAGCUGACUUCGGCUGUGCGGGUGCUCGAGGUGAAUGUCUGCGUCACCGAAGCCUCGUGCUAG
This 471-nucleotide ribosomal RNA is filed under the name Triticum aestivum (bread wheat). Its description in RNAcentral is "partial small subunit ribosomal RNA". The record is from RNAcentral. Lineage: Eukaryota; Viridiplantae; Streptophyta; Magnoliopsida; Poales; Poaceae.